UACGGGGGGGGGCAAGCGUUUGUUCGGAAUUACUGGGCGUAAAGGGCGCGUAGGCGGUUCGCUAAGUUGAAUGUGAAAACUCUGGGCUUAACCCAGAGCCUGCAUUCAAUACUGGCGGGCUAGGGUUCUGGAGGGGAUAGCGGAAUUCCUGGUGUAGCGGUGAAAUGCGUAGAUAUCAGGAGGAACACCGGUGGCGAAGGCGGCUAUCUGGACAGAGUCUG
RNAcentral lists this ribosomal RNA (221 nucleotides) under uncultured bacterium. Its description in RNAcentral is "partial 16S ribosomal RNA". It matches the Rfam family "Bacterial small subunit ribosomal RNA", at positions 524 to 742 of the family's 1533-position model. The record is from RNAcentral.